Molecule: unclassified non-coding RNA, 167 nt
Filed under: uncultured Hypocreales
Lineage: Eukaryota; Fungi; Ascomycota; Sordariomycetes; Hypocreales
Description: sequence contains ITS2
Source: RNAcentral
CAGCCCUCAGGGCCCGUCCGCGGGACCUGGCGUUGGGGAUCGGCCGCGCCCACAGAGGCCGGCCCUGAAAUACAGUGGCGGUCACGUCGCGACCUCCCCCGCGUAGUAGAACUCACCUCGCGGCGGGAAGGCGGCGCGGCCACGCCGUGAAACCCCCCACUUCUCAA